ACACUUAUCUAUAUGCGUAGCCUUUUGAGUCUAAGAAAAAAUUGAAAUGAAAUAUAAUUUUGCAGGAAAAAGCUUUUUUUUCUUCCCUCUCUACCCAAAAAAACGAAUGCACUCAACACACAAUACCCUGUUUUUCCCUCUCCCUCGAGUUCUUCGUGUUUUUCGUCAAAGUCUUACGUUCUUCCUCACCGUCUCUCCUCACUGUCUUGCAUUCCUGUCGCGAUUCCUGUCUAAUGUUCCUCCUCCCUUAACACUGAGCUUUGGUAGGUCUGUUUGUCAUAUGUCUCGCUCUUUCAACUAUGUAAUUUAGGGUUUUUUUUCUUAGACUUGUUUGGAUGAAUUUUGUUUUAUUAUUUGUUUGGGGUUUCAAAGAUUUUUAGGAUUUUGAGUGUCUGGAAGUCUCUG
This 405-nucleotide long non-coding RNA is filed under the name Phaseolus vulgaris (common bean). Its description in RNAcentral is "long non-coding RNA (PVUL_LNC003295)". The record is from RNAcentral. Lineage: Eukaryota; Viridiplantae; Streptophyta; Magnoliopsida; Fabales; Fabaceae.